CGCCAAGCCAGCAGCGCCACGCCUCUGCUACGCGCACGCAGGCAGCAGCACCUCAGACAACAACCACGCAACAGCACCAGCACACUCAGUCCCCUUGCUGCCCGGGAACCUGCUGAGGAGGACGAUGACCACAACCUCUCCCCGAGAUGACGACAAAUAUGAGCGGAGGAAGCCACCAUGGAUUCGUUGUUUAGGACGUCAUGGCCCUGGUGUCGGCGUCAUCUCCGUGUCGGCAAGGAGGUAUGGGCUCUAAACUAGAGGAUACCGGGUUCUCCCCUCCUCUCUCUGGUUUCUAUGGCAUCUGGACGAUGCACAUGCUGGAUACUCACUAACGAGUUCAUUGACAAUUUCAACCAGGAGAAGAACAACUUAAUUUUUAUUUAAUUGAUUAUUUCGUGAAAUUAAUUGGUGCCUUCAAAACCUCUGGUACAAUUCAGUUUGGUAGUUCUGAAGUUGGCAUGUCUGCUCCCAUGUUACAGUUUGGUUUUGUGGAUUUCUUCCAAAUGUAUUCAAGAUUAUGUGCUGCACCAGAUGUAGUUGCAAGUGAACUAUUAGCUUGACAUCAACAUUACCGUGUAGGGAUUAAUGCCAAUCUCUGGGUAUGUUUACAUUUUGCAGUGAACCUGGUGUUGCUAUUUCAUUAGGAUAGAAUAGCUGAAGUGAACAAUUUACAAUAGCCACUAUAACAUAUUGUUAGGGAACAUUUUACCAUCGGGCAGUCCAAGCGAUUCUUCAGGCCAUAUGCCCGGUGUCGGUGCUUCUUCGUUAAAGAUUUGUCCUAGACUCCUAUCUCUUUGUGCUAAUAUUCUGCUUAUCUUUGUUAUUUUGGUGCACUCACUGUUAUAUUGCAAGCACUCCAGUGGCUUGACUUUUUUAUAUUUAUAUAUAUUUUAGCAUUUCUCCAUAGUGAAUUAGAUUAGUUUUCUAAUAGAAUGAAAACCUGCAGAUGCUAUACUUUUCAAAAGUGGAGAUGAAAAUGAAGCCAUUGUUCGUUAGGGCAUGGGAUAGGAGUCAUCAAAUAGAAAAACUACGCGGACUAAACUUUCCAGUAGUAUAACUCAAUAUGAAUUGUUAUAUUUGCAAAUGCCUGAAGCCAUUGGAGUGUCUGCUAGCCUCGAAAACAUUUUGUAUUUAUGUGGUGGUGUAUUUUUCAUAUUAUGCUGAUUUAUCUUAAACUAUAGAUAAAUUGUGAGGCAUUGAUGUGUUCUCCUGUCGGACAACCCAUUCCGAACAACACCUGAAAGGGUGGUUUAUGUUUCUAGGUGCACUUGGAAAGUAAUAAACUGGUAGAAAAUUAAUGCUAUUUUACACUAUGCAAUUAGACAAAGUGGAUAUGCUCACUUCUUAGUGGCGGUGGAGGGUACUGGCAUUUGUUUUUUGAAUUCCAAUUUAGAAUUCUAAUGUACCUAAUGUUUAAGAAUAAAUUUCUAUUCCCGAAUCCGCUUCCUAUAUCUUUGCCAUUCACUAUGUCUGAUUGGCCUAAUGUUUCCUAUAUAUUUUGCCAUAUCACUUGACCUCACAUAGCCAUGUUAAAUUUCCUUUUUUAACUCUGUAUUUUUUAAUUGUUCCAUUGGUUUCUUGGCAUCAAUUUAUGGAUAUAAAUUUUGAAAAUUUCCUUCAUUUCUGGAUUUGGUCAUAAACUUUGAUUCUUUUUCGUUAGAAAGUUCUAGAAUAUAUAAUAUACGAGCCAGUGGAUUUGAUAUGGGUAGUGCAAUUUCAAGUGCAUCUGGAUGCUUUGGUUUGGUUAUGUGCACACAACGUGCUAUGAAAUGUCUAACGAAAAACAAUUUCGCAUCUUGCAGGAAUUAUUGCAGGUGAUGGAAGAGGAAAUGUACUUAGGAAGUGAAUGAGCAAUUAUUGCCGCAUCUUUUAUUUUGUAGGUUUGCUCCAUUCUUGCCUUAUGUGAUGUAUUUGAUGUAUGGUUUUAUUUCUGUAUGCUUGAAUAAUUUCAGUUUAUUGCCACUGUUUCAAAUAUUAUUUUACCACUGAACAAUCAAUAGUAAAGCUAACAAGGCCAGCGCUUUGAGGAGAACACACAGCCAGUUCAGAAGGACGACAGGAAGAAGAGAUCGACCCUGCAGGUUUGACAUUUUUGUGGCAUAUUACUUUCAGCGGUCUAAUGUGAUUUGUGCUUGGUUUUAUUUAUACACAUUGCUCAUAUUUGUUUCUUUUUCUUUUAAGUUUAUUUCUCUCUGUAAGGAUCAUUGCAUCCUAAUUGCUUGUUGUCCCUCUUGAUCUGUGGGCGAUGAAACCCCAGACAUCAGAAAACACUCUGAUGCAAAUGGUGUUUAUUUGUUAGAAGUGUCAUUCUUGAGUUUUUUGUGUGAGGACGCCGAGUAUAACUACCAAGAUACCUGUGAGAACCUCAAGAGCAUGAUAUUCCUUGUUGCUUAUUAUGAUUGACAUGCCCAAGCCUGGUAUUUCAUUUGGUUCUGCCAGGAUAGGAGAGGAGGUUAGUUCCUUGCUUUUACCUUCUAAAUAUGUGAGCUUACUUCUAAUUGUUUUAGAGUGUUCUUGAUUUUUAUUGCUUGAUUACAUCUUUAACUUAUUUCCUUGAUUAACUUGGUUCGGUACCGCUGCUACCUCUUUAACUUAGUUCCUUGAUUAUUUCUUCAGAGCUUAUGCAUGCAUCAAUCUCUUGACAACUGGGUAGCAGCAGGUGCCAAUAUUCCAUCUGCGAUGCUACUUGUGGCAAUUAAGGCCAAUUGAACUUGUCCUGAUAAGCGAUUCUUCUACAAGUCUCUUACCAAGAAUUGCAUGCAAUUCUACUGUCUGAUGUUUGUAAGACUAAAUGGCAAAUAAGAUUGAUGUGUUAGUCACUUUUCAGCUUCAGAAUUAAGAUGGACAUUUUCCAAGUAAGCGUGACUUUGCUUGUUGACUUGUGCUCUUAUAGACUUGCAUUACAUGCACUUGUGAAAUAAAAGAAGGCAUUUGUUCAUGAAAUCAAACAUAAGAGUUAACACAUUUGUAGUUUUGGGAAAAAAAUGAUUUUUGUACCUCGGUUGUUUUGAAGAUGCCACUUUUCUUGAAGUAUGAAUGGGUAUCUUUAGUUUGAAAUACAAUAAUAAAUAUGCGUUGUUUCCUCUGGUGCACCUCUACUAUUUACUCACUCAAUUGCCUGCACUAAUUUAGCCUUUCUUGCAUCAAUUGUUAACAACUCACGAAAGCAUUCAUAGACUUAGUUAGUUAUUGUUCAAUUGAUUAUUGCUCAUUUGAUUGCUUCUGUUUCAGUAGUUCAUCGAUCUCUUGAUGCUCCAAUAGCAGAGCUUGGUGUCGCAUUAUUUGUGGUUGAGCUUUUCUUUUCUUUGGGAUCUUCGAUACCAUGUUUUGUUACUUUUGUUCUAAUUUAUAUUUCUGAAGUUUAUAUUACAAGUAUGGUCAGGUACAGAAAGUAAAUGAGAGUUUCAUUUUCGUAGAUAUCAUGAAUUACAAUCCAGCAAUUUAAUCAUUAGGAUUCGUGAAUCAUGGUCGCUAUUUUGUACAAAUUUUGCAUGCUCCAGUUUAUGGAUAGCCCUCUGAGAACUUCUUUGUCUUGUUUUUAUUUUUCAGGGGUACAAAAAGAAUUGGAAUGAAUGAUUAUAUUCAGACACGACCCUUCAAAGUUAUGGAUAUUCCUACAGUCGACGCCUGCUGAUCUACAUGAUUUGGAAGGUCCAUAUGAGCUCCUCCUUCUGGUGAUGUUAGGCAGUGAGGUGAUUGGAAAGAUCUUGCUUGUCUCUCCACAUCUGGUGACCCAUACCUAACUGAAGAUCCUACGUCCCUUCAAAGCUAUGGAUAUUCCUACAGGUAAAUGAUCGCCCUAAUACAUUCACUUCGGCUACAAUGCAGCUAGCAGCACAAAUUUAUUUAUCAACCAGUGAACCUACUGCUUAUGCAAUUGAACAAAUGGAUGAGCUUACAUGUCGAUAGGGUUGCUUGUAUGUGCAUUUCUCCUGUAUAAGUUUGCUGCAGCUAUUUGAUAUACAAAAAUUCAGAGAAUGCUUCAGGUUAUGAGCAUCAGUGCAAUUAUUCCCGGGCAAACUUCAGCAGCUAGGUUCAGAGCAUGCUUCAACUCAUGAAUGUUAUCUGGAUGUUUGUUAUAUAUAACUUGAUAUGUCUUUGAUUUUAUACCUCAUGACUAGGAAUAUCAUCUGUCAUUUAGGUGAUGCUUCAGUUCAGGCAUGGCCAUAAGAAUUUGGAUGCCGUCAUAGGACUGCAGCCCCAUUUUGGUGAUAUUUUGAUUUUGUAUCUGUUGUACAAAAUUUCUACUCACAAAGAUAAUUCGGUGGUUUAUUAUUUAUAGCUUUAGGCAAUGGAAGCAGAUCACGCUAUAGAUGUCUUUGAUUUCUACUCACGCUGUAGAUGAUGAAAAUAGUUCUAUCUUUUUGGGUGUCCCAUGCCGAUGUUCGAACCUCACUAUGGCAUUUGGAGAUAAAAUCUUGGAUUGAUUUGCUAUGAAGGGAUAUAAUUGAGUAUUCUCCUGUGCAUAUAUUUAUCUAGCACUUCGAGUUGCUGCCUUCCACGCAACCUUGUGUUUUUCUAUUUCAGAGAUUUGCUGAGUAAGAAGAAAAGAUAAUGUUGUUCUGUAGAUCCUAAUUUUUCGUUCAUCGCAUAUUGCCUUUUCUUUUAGCAUGAACAUUGCUUAGUUGCACUCUCAGCAUUGCCGAACAGGCCUUUCCACUAUUCAAGUAAAUGUGGUCAAAAGAUUUAUCUACUAUUUUAGGGACAACUCCCUUGGGAAGGUUACAAGGAUGCCUUAUGUUUAAGUUCCUAAUGGAAUGUUGCGUUUUCCGUGAUCCCACCAUUUGUACAGAGCCAUUUUUCCCUCAAGGUACAAUAAAGAGUUAGAGAGAUUGUUGUAUUUGGAUGUUCUUUAUGAAAAUUCAAAAAUAGUUUCCUGCACACCACUUUAUUUUUCUAUAUUCUCUCCUAAUUUAUUCAUGUACAUCAGUAUGAUUUUAAAUGCUAUCUCCUAAAUAUUUCAGUCUCUUGGGUUCCUACAUUUGUGUCCAGAUCUAUGUAACUAUAGACUACACACGAGUGGUGAACUUAAGUAUUGAGCGAGGGAAGAAAAUGUCACCAAGGUAACAUACUGAAACGGUUGAGGGCUGGUUUCUGAGAAAUUUACCGUUUACUACUCUCCUAAAAAGGCAUGUACUAACAUUCAGGGAGUAAGAUACAAUUAUGAACAAGCAACGCCCCUUCAGUUUAAGCAAUAAUUUAAUUUAAUUAGGUUGAAUUCAAUGUGUAAUUUUAUUCCCCAGUAUAUCUAUGAUAUGCUAUUUGUAUAGAGUUUUCUUCUUUCGAAAACGGAAGUCCCAUCAUUUGCUUGCAUAUUUGUUUGCCCACAACCAAAAUAUGGCUUUAUUAAACUGAACAUUCUUUAACUUUUGUGCUACAGCUGAGAGCAGGUAUUAUUCCCUCAUCAAGCAUGUGAUUCAAUCUAUUUGAUGUUAUCAAGUGAUGUCAUAUUGCUGAGAAUUACUGCAUUAUUCAAUCUAUUAGCAACAUUCAUGUACUAUUAUUUUGCCAAUGGUUUACCUUAACUGUGUAUUCCUAGAUUGACUUAGUGUUCUGACUUAUGACAACUUAUGGCUUCCAAGAUUACUUCAGCCCAGUACAUUAUAUCGAUGCAACAGUUAAAGGAAGAGGCCUACCACUAUAACUUCGAUGGGCAUCCUACAGAUUACGAGGUUUGAUCAUCGUUACCUGAACUAUCACUACUUCUUGUGUGUCACUACCUCUAGUGUCUGUUUUGAGUAUUGAUCUCUGAUCAUGGAGUCAUUGUGUUUGAACAGCUCUGCUUUAAACCUGAAUGGUACCCCCUCCCUGUGUUUAGCUAUUGUAAUCUCUGAACAAUGUGUUCAUGUACCUAUUGUAAUAUAUUUCCCUAUUUUCUCA
Molecule: long non-coding RNA, 5880 nt
Organism: Lolium rigidum
Lineage: Eukaryota; Viridiplantae; Streptophyta; Magnoliopsida; Poales; Poaceae
Exons: 3
Source: RefSeq, a predicted model, not a curated record